RNAcentral lists this ribosomal RNA (261 nucleotides) under uncultured bacterium. Its description in RNAcentral is "partial 16S ribosomal RNA". It matches the Rfam family "Bacterial small subunit ribosomal RNA", at positions 92 to 354 of the family's 1533-position model. The record is from RNAcentral.
CGACCGGCGCACGGGUGAGUAACACGUAUCCAACCUGCCGAUGACUCGGGGAUAGCCUUUCGAAAGAAAGAUUAAUACCCGAUGGCAUAGUUCUUCCGCAUGGUAGAACUAUUAAAGAAUUUCGGUCAUCGAUGGGGAUGCGUUCCAUUAGCUUGUUGGCGGGGUAACGGCCCACCAAGGCAUCGAUCAGUAGCCGGACUGAGAGGUUGGCCGGCCACAUUGGGACUGAGACACGGCCCAGACUCCUACGGAAGGCAGCAG